GUGAAUAUAAACGUUUAGAAAGAUAAAAAAUACUACUUAAAAAAUAGACAAUUAUAAGUUGAGGCUGUGGAGAAAAAAUGGUGUUCGCUCUGUUCAUUAUUACAUAUAUUUACAUCCAUGCAUUUAUUAUUUGUGAAAUUUACUGGUAGUAUCAAUUAUCAAACGUAACUCAUAAGGUUUCAAUGGAAUUGAGUAUGUGGUGAGGGUUGGCGCAAAUUAGUUGAUGCACGCAAUGUGUUUGAGGAAAUCUUUAGGUGAUCAUCAUCCACUCAUCCAGUUACAUAGACAGCUCAGCUGCAGUUGGGUAAAAAACUUAAAUCUUUUAUACCUUGUGAUUUUUCACGAGUUUUAACGACUUUCCAAGUCUUAAUUUCCUUACUCUCGCAAUUGUUGCUUAGUUCUUGAAAAUGGGGAAGUCCCAUAUGUUGUUGUGAAAUCAAAUAUCUAUUUGGAAUAUACACCGUUUACUUUAAAAUUUGAAAUUUGCCUUGCUACAGAAAUGGCAUUAUAUGCUGUCAUAUAUUGUGCUCAUAUUGUUGCAUUAGUGUGGACAGUGGGAUGUGCUCAUGGGGGAUUUCCCAAUGGGAAAUGGCAUUUUCCCUUUACUUGCUUGUGGGAAUGAGGAAAUUGUUGUGUAUAUGAAACUUGCUUUUCAAUAGGUAUCUUUAACGGAUCUCUUAAUGAACUAAGAAGAUCUGCGAGGAUAAUCCUAGGGCUUUCUCUAGUAAAUUCUUAACUUUUAAACCUAAUUUUGUAUCAACAGUGCUGCAUGGGAUGUCUAACUCGUUAUGCCUAUCAGGGUAUUUGUUAUCUUUUCAAGGAUUAUGCUAC
This 831-nucleotide long non-coding RNA is filed under the name Panax ginseng (ginseng). Its description in RNAcentral is "long non-coding RNA (PGIN_LNC007720)". The record is from RNAcentral. Lineage: Eukaryota; Viridiplantae; Streptophyta; Magnoliopsida; Apiales; Araliaceae.